UGGCAGAAGAGAUGGGCAGGCUAAGAUAAACUGUGCUGGAGUUCUGGGGCAAUGCCUACAGCGGAGUGAGCGUCCCCAAAGGUCUCCUCUCUCCCGCCAGGCAAUAGAGGGGUUCAGCAAAGCGGGUUAACCUGAUCAUGAAUUUACAGAAGGUGUGGUGGGAUGGCUUGUCAUUGCUCCUGGAUGUCUGGGCUUCAACUAGGAAGACUUGAAUUGCAGGGGCUGGAGUCAUCUGGAAGCUUCUUGGUUCACAUAUGCCUGUUGCCUGGGCUGGCUUUGGUUCAGCUGGAACUGUUGACACCAACAUGUAACCUGUCCACAGUAUGAUGGCUUCAUGGUAGUCAGACUUUUAAUAGGGUGGCGCAGUGCUCCAAGCAAGAAGUGAAAUCUCCAUGGCCUUUAUGACUUAUUCUUGAAACUUGUACAUCCCUUCACAUCUCUCAUACUCUAUUGGUUAAGACAGUCACAAGCCUGCCCAGAUUCAAGGCUGACUCAGGCUAUCGCUAGCCCAGCAGAUUCGGUCAACCAUUAAUUCCACAAAUAUUUACUGAUUCUCUUGGAUAUGCCUGGCCUUGUGGCAGUGAACACGACAUUCAGAAGCCUGAUAAGAUGGAAGCCGCUCUGACCUGGGACCCAGGAGCCCUGAUUCUGCCAGUUACUCUCUAAGUGACUUUGGACAGGUACUCAGUCCUCCCUGGGCCUCAGUUUCCCCAUCAGUCAUAUCAAGGCCUUGACCUUGAAGAUUGCUAAAACCCCUUCAGAACUCCCAAAAGAAAGAUGAUUCUGGCACACCAGGCACUCCUAAAGUUUCAAUCCUCAACCUCAAGUUUAUUUUCUGUCUUUUGCCUUUACUGCCGGCUGGCUUACUCUUGCUGUAAUUUAUUUAACUGAGAUGUGCCGAGCAGUUUGGAACUGAGUUUGCAUGAAUCACUGUCCAUAAAAUCAAGUUAAGUGGAUUUCAUUCCACAGAGCGCACCUGUGUAUAUACUCGGGGAGAAGAAGCUGGAUUUUCUUGGCUCUUCCGGACCACUGUUGGAAUUGCUUCUUUACAGAUAUAGCAUUCAUCCUGUAUUUAUAGUCUGUUGUUAUAACAGCCUCCUUCAGAGACCUGAAAGUAAAGUGUUGGAUGCAAUUUUUCCUUCAGAUCAUUUUAUAUAGCUGUCCUGUUUCCCUCUCUAGCUGGAAAAGCUGACAUUGAUUUCUUCUAUUUUAUCAGAGCUGGCAAAUAUCAGAUUCAACUUCAUUCAACAACUGUUUACUGAGUGCUUUGUGAAGUCCUACUGAGCUAGGUAUAGGGGUGGGUGUCAAGCAGUGUCAUGCUGCUCAAAGACUCUACAAACUAUGAAGUGUUAAGUAACAACAAUGCAAGAAAAUGUUUCCAGGCAGAAAAUGGGAAAUUUGCUGUGUUGGGUGGAAGAUGAAACUAGCAAAGGUGAGUGAUCUGGGGAGGAUUAUGGAGAGUUUGGGGAGGAUCCUGAGCUUGUGAGGGAGAUUUCUGUUUGGACCACUGCCCACAUUUCCCUCCUCCUCAGCCCCAUCUGACAAAACCUGCACCAAAAUCCUUUCAGUUUACCAUUUUGUAAAAGGAUGUGAUUAGAAAAGAAAAAGGUUUUGAGUGGAGAUGAGCAUUUUUAUAGGAAGAAAUAAUGCCUGGAGUGUCUGCUCUGGUGCUUGUGGAAAUACUUUUUUGGAGCCAGUGUGAAGGAUUAUAAAGGGAUUUAUUUCAUUUUGUAACACAGCCAAAAGCACAGGCAGACUGUGACUAAAACGGUGGUGCGAGGGACUAGCUAUUUGUUCUUAUUUUCUACCUUGUUAGGAAAUAUGUCAUUUUUACUCUGCCACAGAAGAAACAUUUCACGAUUUUCUUGGCCGAUUUCAAGUGAUGUUGGAAAUUCUAUUCCAUUGACCCCUGGGACUCUGGGAGACAUGCUGGGAUGCUGGGGAAGGGCAGGGUGUGGCCUCCCACCUCCACUGACACUAUGCUUAUGGCCAUCCAGUAUUUUUGAGAAGAUGGGUUCACUUUAAAAGACUUUAAGCUUUGGAUGCACCUGCAUUUCUAUCCAGGCUGCAAGCUAAAUUUGCUUUGCUUAAUGGAUUCUGUUUGUCAUACUGUCUUGGAAUAAGACACACCCACAUUUCCAGGCAACUAUUUAGGAAGCUUGUAUUUCCAGAAGGUGCCUUAGCCUGGGUUGUGUCUGCCCUGGAAAGAGACCCUGGAUAGCGCCACUUCUGCGCUGGGGGAGUAACACAAUGGACCACAGAGCAGUGCUGUCCAAGGGAAAUACAAUGAGAGCCAUGUAUGUAAUUUAAAAUUUUCUAGUAGCCACAAAAAAAAAAAACCCUAUAAAAAGAAAUAGAUGAGUUUAAUUUUAGUAAUAUAGUUAUUUAAUCCAAUAUAUCUAAAAUAUUACGAUUUCAACACAAUAAUCAAUAUGAAAAUGAUUAAUGAGAUAUUUUACAUUCUUUUUUUUCAUACUAAGUCUUCAAAGCUUGGUGUGUGUUUUAUACUUUAGCACAUCUCAAUCCAGACCAGCCACAUUUCAAGUGCUCAAUAGCUGCAUGUGGCUAGUGACUACUAUAUUGGACAGCACUGGUCCAGAGUUCUUUCACAGACUCCUUGAAGCCCUGGAGGGUCUUUUAUUUUAACCUUUGUAGGCAAUAAAGAGCCCAACCUUUUUUUGCCUUGACUAGGAAUAGCUCACUACUUGGCCUCCAACUGUAUAAUUGUCUCCGUUGCUCCCAGAGAUGGAGUCUGGUAAAUUUCAGGGGCCUUCCAUUAUGGUACCCAUCACUGCCACCGCUAUUUGUGCUACAUUCAUACCUUGUCUGUGUUUCAUGCUCUGGCACUUUUCAUACUUCCUUUAUCCUUUCAAAACCUACCUUUCCUGGGUCCCUUUUCCUUCAGGGUCCUACUCAGGGUUUGGAGGAUAAUGAUAAUAAGGGCUAAUGGUCAAAAUAGACUGUGGUAUAAUACUUCCUGGGUAUCAGCCUGCACCAACACACUUCAAAAUUACAAUCCUCCUGCAGAUGGUGAGUGGCAAUGGGACAGGAUGGCAGAGCAUUGGAAGUGGAAAGAAUUUAGAGAGCUUCUAGUCCAGUAUUUUAUUUUUAAAUUGAGGUAAAAUUUGUGUAAUAUAAAACUAAUCAUUGAAAGCGUAUGAUUCAGAUAAACAACAAGGUCCUAUAGUAUAGCACAGAGAACUGUAUCCUGUGUGACAAACCAUAAUGGAAAAGAAUAUGAAAAAGAAUAUAUAUAUGUAUAACUGAGUCACU
Globicephala melas (long-finned pilot whale) is the source of this 3273-nucleotide long non-coding RNA. RefSeq lists it as uncharacterized. NCBI's taxonomy places the organism in Eukaryota, Metazoa, Chordata, Mammalia, Artiodactyla, Delphinidae. The record is from RefSeq and is a predicted model, not a curated record.